RNAcentral lists this long non-coding RNA (2724 nucleotides) under Mus musculus (house mouse). Its description in RNAcentral is "long non-coding RNA chr6:30421219-30423943". Lineage: Eukaryota; Metazoa; Chordata; Mammalia; Rodentia; Muridae. The record is from RNAcentral.
AGUCUCCUUUCUUAAGGGACCCAGACUAUCAGAUCAGAGGUACAUACAUACAUGCACACAAACACACACAGACCACCAGCACAGCAUAACACAAACAUAAAUUCUCUCUCUCUUGCUCGCUCGCUCGCUCGCUCGCUCCGCUCGCUCGCUCUGUCACACAUACACACACACAGAAAAUGCCUUACAGGCUUGCCUUCAGUUGGAUCUUAUCAAAGUGUUUUCUCAAUUGACGUUCCCUCCUUUCAGAUGACUGUGUCAAGCUGACAUAAAACUAGCCAGCACACCUGACUGUAUGCAUGAGCACUGUAUAUGUGCCGGUAUCCCUGUAGGUCAGAAGAGCUACCCUGGAACUAGAAUUACAUAUGGCUGUGUGCUACCACAUGGGUGCUGAGAACUGAUUGUGGGUCCUCUGCAAGAGCAACAUGUGUCCUUAACCACUGAGCCAUCUCUCCAGCCCCUCCAGGUCAGUUUUGAGAGAAACUAAAAUUAAGGACUUUUUAGCAAAAGAUGUACCUAGUCUCGUGUGUGUGUGUGUGUGUGUGUGUGUGUGUGUGUGUGUGUUUCUUGUUUGGGGUUUUGUUUGCUUGGCUUUUGAGAUGGGGGUCACUAUGUAACCUGGCCUGGAACUCACUAAAUAGACCAGGCUGGCCUCAGACUCAAAGAUCUGCUUGUUGGGUGCUAGGAUUAAAGGUCUGCUCCAUCACACCCUGGCUUUUAUGUGUAUUUUUUUUUCCGAGACAGAUUUUCUCUGUGUAGCCCUGGCUGUCCUGGAACUCACUUUGUAGACCAGGCUGGCCUUGAACUCAGAAAUCUGCCUGCCUCUGCCUCCCGAGUGCUGGGAUUAAAGGCGUGCGCCACACCCAGCUCUAUGUGUGUGUUUUGAGGGUCUCCCUUUAUUGAGCCCAAGCUAAUUGCAGUUAUGAAUGUCAGUAAUUUGUUAUUUCCCAGUUAGCUGAUGCCUACUAAGCUUUGAGGCUUUCCUGGUCACUCUUUCUUAUGUCGCGUUAUUAUUUUUCCAUUCCAUAUGUAUAUGUUAAGUGAUUCCCUUUUCAGACUUAUGAGGGAGCAAUUUUAUUGUGUCCUUACACAUCCAAAAUGCCCUUUUUCAUACAUGAAAAAGAGAUUAAGUGUAGAAUUCUAGGUUUAAAGGUUGAACGUGGUGGGGCAUGCCUACCUAUAACCCCAGCCCUCAGGAGGCAGAAAAGGAGACUCAUAGCCAACUUAAACCUGGCCACAGAGUGAAAAUCCCAUCUCAAAACACAGAACAACAAUCUCCACCUGUCCCUUCCCCCCAAAAAAUGCUAGGUUAAAAUGUAUGUAGUUGUAGAGUGAGUUGGAAAGAUGAUUCUUGCUACCUGUAGGAUUUGCUUGUCACUUCUCCAAAAUUAAUGGAUAAUAGAUGUUUGUGUUUAACUGAAUUCUCACAUUUAUUUACUUAUUUAUUUAUUUAUGGUUUGUCUGACUAUGUAGUCUUGGCUGCCCUGGAAGUUUGUAUCUAGACCAGGCUGGCCUUAAACUCCUGGUGGUGGUCCUUCCAGCUUUGGCCUCCAUGUGAGUGCUGGAAUUACAGGCACAUGCCGCCACAGUACUGAGUUCUCACUGGAAAUCAUUUGUUUAUGUAUGUUCUUAUGUCAGUCCCUCUGCUUUAAAUACUGUACCAUUGUAAGUUUGGGAGUGACGUGUCAUGUUAGUCUUCCAAUCUUUUUCAGAUUGUUGUGGUGUUCUGGGCUCCUUCCAUUUCCAUAUGAAGCUUAAGAUUCAUUUGCUCAUUUCUGUAAUGAAAAAAAACCAGUACUUGACAUUUUGAUAGAGAUCACUUCUCUUUGUUAUCUUCACGUUUUACUUCUGACUUGUACCAUGUUUGAGUCUUGAUUUUAUGCUGGUUCAUGCUACUUUGAGAAUCUUUGCUAGCCUUGCUGUGACUUUCCCUCGGUGUUUUGCACAGAUCCCACUAAUUGUGGUAGGGAGGAGAGUGGACACUGGAUGAGUCAUGGUGAGGGAGUGUACCUGAUAUUGACCAUUCUCUAGUGUAACUGCCCUUCAUCUGUCAGAAUGCUGAUACCCACAGAGGGCUCUUCUUAGAGCCAACGGCUCAUCUUAGUCCUACCUGGGGAGCAUCCUCUUGGUCAUUGCCACCAGUCUCAUCUGGGAGCAAAUACCUCUUCUUCUUAAACACUUGGCUCCAGGGGACAAAUAGGUGGGAGGGGUUGAUCUGUAAUAUAACUUCUGUGUAUCACCAACCACCAAUGUGGUGAUCUUUACAGUCUGUUUCAGCUCGUUCUGCUGCCUGCCUCUGUAGUUAACUUAGUUCAGCUGUUUAAACCAGUGAAGCUACCGCUCACCCGCUCCUGGUUGUUAGACUGACUUCUGAGUCUGUUCUCUCAGCUUUCCCUUUCAUCUCUUUAUCUUUCCUCUCUUUAAAACUGACUCCUCUUAGUUUUAGUCUAUUAGAGUAUUUGUUGUUGUUUUGUUCUUUCUUGUGUAGGCCUUCCACCCCCGAAAGGAUUUCACUCUGUAGCCUUGGCUGUGCUGUAGCACACUCUAUAGACCACACUGUCCUUGGACUCAGAUCCACUUGCCUCUGCCUCCCAAGGGAUUGAAAGCAUGUGCUUUCUCUGUAGAUUUAUAAAAAGAUGACAUUAUUUAUGAAAUUGGGGAAAAGCUGAGUUAGUGUGUGUCUUGGUAAAGUUUUAAUUUUAGUGAUUAUGGUGAAGCAAAUUUUGU